Molecule: ribosomal RNA, 1097 nt
Filed under: human gut metagenome
Description: bacterial LSU rRNA
Rfam family: Bacterial large subunit ribosomal RNA
Source: RNAcentral
UCAGGGAGGCAAAACCCCCUGAGAAACAGGACACGUGAUGCGGAGCGAAAUAAAGUAGCGAAGAGUGGUGAGCCGGCGCCGAGAAAAGCCGCUAUUGUUUGUAAGGUACCCGUACCGUAAACCGACACAGGUGGAUGAGGAGAGAAUCCUAAGGCCGACGGGAGAAGCAUUGUUAAGGAACUCGGCAAAAUGACCCCGUAACUUCGGGAGAAGGGGUGCCUGCGAGAGCAGGCCGCAGAGAAUAGGCUCAAGCAACUGUUUAGCAAAAACACAGGUCUAUGCGAAACCGAAAGGUGAGGUAUAUGGGCUGACGCCUGCCCGGUGCUGGAAGGUUAAGAGGAGAGGUUAGCGCAAGCGAAGCUUUGAAUUUAAGCCCCAGUAAACGGCGGCCGUAACUAUAACGGUCCUAAGGUAGCGAAAUUCCUUGUCGGGUAAGUUCCGACCCGCACGAAAGGCGUAAUGAUUUGAGCACUGUCUCGACAAUGCAUCCGGUGAAAUUGAAGUACCAGUGAAGAUGCUGGUUACCCGCGCCAGGACGGAAAGACCCCAUGGAGCUUUACUCCAGUUUGGUACUGGGAUUCGGUACUGCAUGUACAGGAUAGGUGGGAGACUAAGAACUUGGGACGCCAGUUUCAAGGGAGUCGCUGUUGGGAUACCACCCUUGCAGUAUUGGAUUUCUAACCAGCCGCCGUGAUCCGGCGGUGGGACAAUGCCAGGCGGGGAGUUUGACUGGGGCGGUCGCCUCCGAAAGGGUAUCGGAGGCGCUCAAAGGUUCCCUCAGAAUGGUUGGAAACCAUUCGAAGAGUGCAAAGGCAGAAGGGAGCUUGACUGCGACACCGACGGGUGGAGCAGGUACGAAAGUAGGACUUAGUGAUCCGGUGGUAUAAAGUGGGAUUGCCAUCGCUCAACGGAUAAAAGCUACCCUGGGGAUAACAGGCUUAUCACUCCCAAGAGUUCACAUCGACGGAGUGGUUUGGCACCUCGAUGUCGGCUCAUCGCAUCCUGGGGCUGUAGUAGGUCCCAAGGGUUGGGCUGUUCGCCCAUUAAAGCGGUACGCGAGCUGGGUUCAGAACGUCGUGAGACAGUUCGGUCCCUAU